GAUGAAGAACGUAGCGAAAUGCGAUACGUAAUGUGAAUUGCAGAAUUCCGUGAAUCAUCGAAUCUUUGAACGCACAUUGCGCCCCUUGGUAUUCCAUGGGGCAUGCCUGUUCGAGCGUCAUUUGUACCUUCAAGCUUUGCUUGGUGUUGGGUGUUUGUCUCGCCUUUGCGUGUAGACUCGCCUUAAAAUAAUUGGCAGCCGGCGUAUUGAUUUCGGAGCGCAGUACAUCUCGCGCUUUGCACUCAUAACGACAGCGUCCAAAAGUACAUUUUACACUCUUGACCUCGGAUCAGGUAGGGAUACCCGCUGAACUUAAGCAUAUCAAUAAGCGGAGGA
This 336-nucleotide unclassified non-coding RNA is filed under the name soil metagenome. Its description in RNAcentral is "partial contains 5.8S ribosomal RNA, internal transcribed spacer 2, and large subunit ribosomal RNA". The stretch from base 1 to 120 matches the Rfam family "5.8S ribosomal RNA", at positions 35 to 154 of the family's 154-position model. The record is from RNAcentral.